Molecule: ribosomal RNA, 481 nt
Filed under: uncultured bacterium
Lineage: Bacteria
Description: partial 16S ribosomal RNA
Rfam family: Bacterial small subunit ribosomal RNA
Source: RNAcentral
GACGAACGCUGGCGGCGUGCUUAACACAUGCAAGUCGAACGGGAUCCGGGCUUUCGGGUUUGGUGAGAGUGGCGAACGGGUGAGUAACACGUGAGUAACCUGCCCCCUUCUUUGGGAUAACGUCGGGAAAUCGGCGCUAAUACUGGAUAUUCUUGCUGCAUCGCAUGGUGUGGUUUGGAAAGGGUUUCUGGUGGGGGAUGGGCUCGCGGCCUAUCAGCUUGUUGGUGGGGUGAUGGCCUACCAAGGCUUUGACGGGUAGCCGGCCUGAGAGGGUGUCCGGCCACACUGGGACUGAGACACGGCCCAGACUCCUACGCGAGGCAGCAGUGGGGAAUAUUACACAAUGGGCGCAAGCCUGAUGCAGCGACGCCGCGUGAGGGAUGACGGCCUUCGGGUUGUAAACCUCUUUCAGUAUGGAACAAGGAUCCUUCUUUUGGGGGGUUUGAGGGUACGUGCAGAAGAAGCGCCGGCUAACUACGUG